Molecule: ribosomal RNA, 561 nt
Filed under: uncultured bacterium
Lineage: Bacteria
Description: bacterial SSU rRNA
Rfam family: Bacterial small subunit ribosomal RNA
Source: RNAcentral
CCUACGGGAGGCAGCAGUGGGGAAUCUUGCGCAAUGGGCGAAAGCCUGACGCAGCCAUGCCGCGUGAAUGAUGAAGGUCUUAGGAUUGUAAAGUUCUUUAGCCUGUGACGAUGAUGACGGUAACAGGAGAAUAAGCCCCGGCUAACUUCGUGCCAGCAGCCGCGGUAAUACGAAGGGGGCUAGCGUUGUUCGGAAUUACUGGGCGUAAAGCGCGCGUAGGCGGUUUUACAAGCCAGAGGUGAAAUGCCUGAGCUUAACUUGGGAAUUGCCUUUGGAACUGUAUGGCUUUGAGGACGAGAGAGGUGAGUGGAAUUCCCAGUGUAGAGGUGAAAUUCGUAGAUAUUGGGAAGAACACCGGUGGCGAAGGCGGCUCACUGGCUCGUUUCUGACGCUGUAGCGCGAAAGCGUGGGGAUCAAACAGGAUUAGAUACCCUGGUAGUCCACGCUGUAAACGAUGAGUGCUAGGCGUCGGCACGCUUGCGUGUCGGUGCCGCAGCUAACGCGUGAAGCACUCCGCCUGGGGAGUACGGUCGCAAGAUUAAAACUCAAAUGAAUUGACGG